This 90-nucleotide transfer RNA is filed under the name Equus caballus (horse). It matches the Rfam family "tRNA". From Rfam's summary of the family: Transfer RNA (tRNA) molecules are approximately 80 nucleotides in length. Their secondary structure includes four short double-helical elements and three loops (D, anti-codon, and T loops). The record is from Rfam by way of RNAcentral. Lineage: Eukaryota; Metazoa; Chordata; Mammalia; Perissodactyla; Equidae.
CCUUCGAUAGCUCAGUUGGUAGAGCGGAGGACUGUAGGUAGCUUGCUCGUGGUCAUCCUUAGGUCGCUGGUUCGAAUCCGGCUUGAAGGA